Non-coding RNA from Ictidomys tridecemlineatus (thirteen-lined ground squirrel), 1157 nucleotides. The record is from RefSeq and is a predicted model, not a curated record. Lineage: Eukaryota; Metazoa; Chordata; Mammalia; Rodentia; Sciuridae.
UUUCCAUCACUUUUUCAAAGUCACUACAUCUUUUUGCUUUCCCAGGAACCACUGGCCCUGAUUUUCAAGCUAAUCCGAAGUAAGCAAUGGUGUCUGCAAAGUGAGGAAAACUGACUAGAGAUCUUCCUAUGGAGGCAGGAAUGAUUACAAGUGAUGUAACUGGCAGCCAAAAAAGUGGCUUAAAGCCAAUGGAAAGUGGGGAACAGAAUAACAGAACUCAGGGAAGGAAUCAGCAGUUGAGGAGGAGCCUGUUUGCCCUGGGCUGCUCUGGGCAGGAGAGCUCCCCGUUUGUAUCAGGAGGGGAUCAUCAACAGAGCUCAGGGUCGCCAGUGACCCGUGAGGAGCUAACAGAACAGCGAGACUGACCACUCUGUGCACACACAGUGGGCUGCCUCACUCGAUACCCACAUCAUCUUUGAGUUAAACACUUUCCUCAAGGUCACACAGUCAAUGGCAGAGCUGCGAUUCAGACUCCCAUCUGAUGGAUGCCACAGCCCAUUCUCUCAGCCACCAAACAAUGUGGUCAGCGAUACCUGUUGUUAAUUAGAAAGAAUGCACAUAAACUGUUGGCUUAGCCACAACAUCGUCUUUUGGCAGAAAAGAAAAAGGGAGUGAGAGAGAACUCAUUUAUUUCCUAUAUUUAGCAGUGUGCCCAAGGUUGUGUAACUGUCGAGCAGUGCUGCGGAUGCACUUCAUCUCCUGCCACACUGCUCUGCUUUCCACAGCAAGUUCACAAGAAAAGUAAACGGACAGAACAAGGUCUGAGUACCUGGCUAAAGACGGACCGAGAGCUGUAGAGAGCUCAGAGUGCAGAACAGCUGGGCUCUACAGGAAGAGACACAUUAGCAGGACCACAUGGACUAAUGCUGGAUAGACCCAAGCUUGAAUUUCUUAUUCUACCAGUUACUAGUCAUGUUCAGAUCUUGGGUCUGGUUUCUUUAUCUGUAAAAGGAAUGUUCUGAUACCACAAGGGCUGAAGCUAAUGAAGCUGAGGAAAGUAACACAAAAGCACUGACCUUUCUGGCCGAGAGACUGCUAAUGAGGCAUUGCAGAUCGCCAGGAGGAGGAGAGUAUUAAGAUAUGCCCCUGCACAACUGAGAACAGCAGCUCCUGAUCUUUGUAAAUCUUCUACAGCUCUUUUCUAUUAAAAAGUAGCC